GGAAGAAUGGUCGAGUGGUUUAAGGCAGCGGUCUUGAAAACCGCCGAGGGGCAACUCUCCGAGGGUUCGAAUCCCUCUUCUUCCGCCA
RNAcentral lists this transfer RNA (88 nucleotides) under Lentisphaerota bacterium. RNAcentral's name for it is "Lentisphaerae bacterium tRNA-Ser". It matches the Rfam family "tRNA". Rfam says of the family: Transfer RNA (tRNA) molecules are approximately 80 nucleotides in length. Their secondary structure includes four short double-helical elements and three loops (D, anti-codon, and T loops). Further hydrogen bonds mediate the characteristic L-shaped molecular structure. tRNAs have two regions of fundamental functional importance: the anti-codon, which is responsible for specific mRNA codon recognition, and the 3' end, to which the tRNAs corresponding amino acid is attached (by aminoacyl-tRNA synthetases). tRNAs cope with the degeneracy of the genetic code in two manners: having more than one tRNA (with a specific anti-codon) for a particular amino acid; and 'wobble' base-pairing, i.e. permitting non-standard base-pairing at the 3rd anti-codon position. Lineage: Bacteria; Pseudomonadati; Lentisphaerota. The record is from RNAcentral. RNAcentral also lists the same sequence under 1 other name.